This is a long non-coding RNA of Folsomia candida, 220 nucleotides long. RefSeq lists it as uncharacterized. The transcript is spliced from 3 exons. Lineage: Eukaryota; Metazoa; Arthropoda; Collembola; Entomobryomorpha; Isotomidae. The record is from RefSeq and is a predicted model, not a curated record.
ACUGGAACUACUGACACCAUGACACUAAGUGCAUGCGGGCUGGAUAAACCUCGUCAUACUUUAUCUUUUCGAAAACAAGUUUCUGCUGCCAGUUCUUCUGCCGAUCUUAGUAAAAGGAUGAUGGAGCUUGGUGAUGGCUCGGAGACGUCGUCAGACGUGGAAGACCUUACAGAGUCGUAUCCAUUAGAGGAGGAUUUCUACAGUCAAGAAGUCAGCACAA